GAAGACAUGAAGUAUAGAUCAGAUUUGUUAAUAGAGGAGUAUGUUCAAAACACUUUUUAGAAAAAGAUAUUGACAGAACUUCACUUUCAUCUGUUCGUUUAAGAGACUGUGCUGUUCCAAUAGCUUAUGUCACACAGAAUCAGCUGAGAGAAGUGGUCUACAAAAAACCAGAAAGGAAACGGAAUAUGUGGCUACGAAAAGCAAAAGAAAGGUUUACAAAGCAAAUGUGACACAUUUUUUUAUAAUAUUUAGGAAUGUCAGUAAAUUACAUUAAAAAAUGUAUGUAAAGAUUUUUUGCAAUAAAAAUGUUUAUAUUUA
Diabrotica virgifera virgifera (western corn rootworm) is the source of this 318-nucleotide long non-coding RNA. RefSeq lists it as uncharacterized. The record is from RefSeq and is a predicted model, not a curated record. Lineage: Eukaryota; Metazoa; Arthropoda; Insecta; Coleoptera; Chrysomelidae. The transcript has 2 exons.